RNAcentral lists this long non-coding RNA (1946 nucleotides) under Lynx pardinus (Iberian lynx). The record is from RNAcentral. Lineage: Eukaryota; Metazoa; Chordata; Mammalia; Carnivora; Felidae.
GCACACACAUGCACAUACACACGCACAUAAACAACCACACACACACAACCACACACCCGCACACACACACACACACCCACACACACACACACACACCCGCACACACAAACACAACCACACACACACGCACACACACAACCACACACACACAUGCACACACACGCACAUACACACGCACACAACCACACACACACAAAACCACACACACAACCACACACAUGCACACACACAGCCACACACAACCACACACACUCAACUGCACACACACCCACAUACAACCACACACACACAACCACACACAUGCACACACACAGCCACACACAACCACACACACACAACCAAACACACACACAACACACACACAUACAACCACACACACGCACACACCCCCACAUACAACCACACACACAGCCACACACAACUGCACACACACACAACCACACACCCACACAAUCACACACACAACUGCACACACAUACAUACAACCACACACACGCACACACACACAACUGCACACACAUACAUACAACCACACACACGCACACACAGAAACACACACACAACCGCUCACAAGCACACACAACCGCACACACAACCACACACAUGCACGCACGACACACACACAACCACACACACGCUCACACACACACACACGCACACACACAUGCACACACACACAAACACACCCCCCACACACACAACCACACACACACGCCCGCACAUACACACACAACCACACACACAUGCACACACAUGCACAUACACAACCACACACACAAAACCACACACACACGCACACACACGUGUAUGCACACACAACCACACACACACAUGCACAUACACACAAAACCACACACGCGCACACACACACGCAUGCACACACAACCACACACACAUGCACACACACGCACAUACACACGCACACAACCACACACACACAAAACCACACACGCGCGCAUGCACACACAACCACACACACACAAAACCACACACACAUAACCACAUGCACACAUACAACCACACACACACAAGCGCACACACACAACUGCACACACACCCAUAUAUAACCACACACACACAAUGACACACACACAAAACCACACACACACACCCACACACGCACACACAACCACACACACAUAACCACAUGCACACACACAACCACACACACAUACAGACACACAACCACACACACACACAAUCACACAACACAACCACACACACAUAACCACACGCACACACAACCACACACCCACCCACAUACAACCACACACAAACAAUCCCACACACACACCACACCCACCCACAUACAACCACACACACACAAUCCCACACACACACAACCACACCCACCCAGACACACACAACGGCACACACACCCACACACAUCCACACACACAAUACAACCACACUCACACAACCACACACACACAAUACAACUGCAAACACACAACCGUACACACACCCACACACACACAAUUCAACCACACUCACACACACAACCACACAACCACAUACACACCCGCACACACACACAACCACACACUACACACACACACACACACACAACCACACACACACAAAACCACACACACGCGCAUGCACACACAACCACACACGCACACAACCACACACACACAAAACCACACACACGCGCAUGCACACACAACCACACACACACACAACCACACACACAUAACCACAUGCACACACACAACCGCACACACACAACUGCACACACACCCACAUACAACCACACACACACAAUGACACACACACAAAAACACACACACACACCCGCACACACAACCACACACACGCACACACAACCACACAUACAUAACCACAUGCACACACACAACCACACACACAUACAGACACACAACCACACACACACAAUCACACAACACAACCACACACACAUAACCACAUGCACACACACAACC